GAUGAAGAACGUAGCGAAAUGCGAUAAGUAAUGUGAAUUGCAGAAUUCAGUGAAUCAUCGAAUCUUUGAACGCACAUUGCGCCCGCCAGUAUUCUGGCGGGCAUGCCUGUCUGAGUGUCAUUUCAACCCUCAUGCCCCUAGGGCGUGGUGUUGGGGAUCGGCCAAAGCCCGCGAGGGACGGCCGGCCCCUAAAUCUAGUGGCGGACCCGUCGUGGCCUCCUCUGCGAAGUAGUGAUAUUCCGCAUCGGAGAGCGACGAGCCCCUGCCGUUAAACCCCCAACUUUCCAAGGUUGACCUCAGAUCAGGUAGGAAUACCCGCUGAACUUAAGCAUAUCAAUAAGCGGAGGA
RNAcentral lists this unclassified non-coding RNA (348 nucleotides) under soil metagenome. RNAcentral's name for it is "partial contains 5.8S ribosomal RNA, internal transcribed spacer 2, and large subunit ribosomal RNA". The stretch from base 1 to 120 matches the Rfam family "5.8S ribosomal RNA", at positions 35 to 154 of the family's 154-position model. The record is from RNAcentral.